RNAcentral lists this ribosomal RNA (163 nucleotides) under Bupleurum sichuanense. RNAcentral describes it as "5.8S ribosomal RNA". It matches the Rfam family "5.8S ribosomal RNA". Rfam says of the family: 5.8S ribosomal RNA (5.8S rRNA) is a component of the large subunit of the eukaryotic ribosome. It is transcribed by RNA polymerase I as part of the 45S precursor that also contains 18S and 28S rRNA. Functionally, it is thought that 5.8S rRNA may be involved in ribosome translocation. The record is from RNAcentral. Lineage: Eukaryota; Viridiplantae; Streptophyta; Magnoliopsida; Apiales; Apiaceae.
AAACGACUUUUGGCAACGGAUAUCCCGGCUCUUGCAUCGAUGAAGAACGUAGCGAAAUGCGAUACUUGGUGUGAAUUGCAGAAUCCCGUGAACCAUCGAGUUUUUGAACGCAAGUUGCGCCCGAUGCCAUUAGGCUGAGGGCACGUCUGCCUGGGUGUCACGU